Molecule: RNA transcript, 3759 nt
Organism: Lathyrus oleraceus (garden pea)
Lineage: Eukaryota; Viridiplantae; Streptophyta; Magnoliopsida; Fabales; Fabaceae
Gene name: polyadenylate-binding protein 1
Exons: 9
Source: RefSeq, a predicted model, not a curated record
UAAAUAUAUAUUUGUAAUUUGCUACGAAUAUGAAUCUCCGGAUUAAGCAGAGAGAGUGUCAAAGAGAUGAAAUUGCUAUCGCCUUCCGCAACCGCUACUUCUUCCCUCCCUUCUUCCGCUUUUCUCCCUUCUCACUCCAAUGGGUUCCAAAAUCUGGGCUUUUCUUCAGCUACCUUCAAAUUCUCUAAGAAUAAGGGAAGAUGCAUUAGGAAAGCCGGGAGCACUAAUAUCACUGCAAAGUUUGAGCUGAAGCCACCGCCUUAUCCGCUGGAUGCUACAUAAGUUCCCUAGCUUUCAUCCACAAGGACAUGGUUGCAUCUCCAAUGACGGGGUAUUGUCACAGUUUUUACACAAACACCUUAACGGUAACAAAUAACUAUUUUAUCAUUUUUUGCAUUUUCAAUUACAUGAAGCCACAUCACUAGCUUCUAGAAGAAUCAUAGAAUGAAAAUAUUUCCAAAUCUGUUUCUGAUUUGCAUAUGUGUAGCCCUGUGGCCAAUGAGAAUGACAACUCAUCAUCCAAUCAAUUAUGUAUCAUUCUGUUGUGCUCUUGACAUCCGAUUUCUUUCCAUUUAUGGAAUUCUUGUUUGGAGCUGAGAUUAUACGGUUCUCCUUAUAAUCCAAAUCCCAUCUCAAAAGCGAAAUGAAAACGACAAAUUUUGUAAUUUGAGUAUAAUUAACAUACAUGAGAUACGCCAAAAAAUAAUGAAAUAAAUGGCUUAGUCGAGAAAGUGAGUCAUAACUCAUAAGCCUGUCAGAUUCACCGCUCUCUUGGGAGAAGGAUGGAGCAUGAGCACAGUGCCGACAUGAGGGAGAGGAACCAAAACAACAAAGCGCCACCACUUUCAGGUUUAUGUCUCUGUCUAUUUGAUUUUCCUAUUUCUGAAUCUCAUCAUCGCAACGUCUUUAUUAAUGCUUUCUCUUAAUUGAUUUGAUUCUGAAUGUUGAGUUUGCUUGAGCUAGCACGACCUCUUGAACAACCAAAACCAAAAACAACCAAGCCUUAUUCUACUAAAUAGGAUCGACUACAUGUGUCAAAUUCUGCCAUAAUGUUCUAUCCAAGUCCUUUUGAACAUUAUGACAAAAACAUUACCUAGUCUUCUAGAUAUUGAGAUAGCUAGUUACUGACAUUUUUGUUUUUGGCUUUCCUUAUAUUGGGAUUGAGUUAGAAACUUUUACUUGAUUUCGAAAAUUUUGAUAAAUUUGAACAAGAAAAAUGAUAAUUAUCAUGGGUGAACUUUCCCAAAACUUUAUUUAUUAAAAUAAAACACACAAAUGGUUGUUAUAUUAGAUCUGUAAGAUGCCCUCUCUCACGUAAGAGUCCUUUGGGAGCAUAUUCAACCACUACAAAUCCCCAGCGUGGUUAAAUGGUGGCCAUGGCGGAUUUUUUGUUAACCAUCAUAUGCCCCUAUGGCAUAUAUAUAUGGUGAACUUUUGGCCUUCCACCGCCGACAACAUUGCAACCAACUGAGUGAUUAUCUCACCCACUACAAAUCCCAUAGCUACCCUCCCUUAGAUUGAAAAUCCCCGGUACAACUUGCUACAGGAAUAUUGUUUAAUUGACCUAUGCCGAUUGGAAUAGGCUCAGACACUCCUGUCUUUUUCUAUAAGAAUCAACAUGAUUUUUAUAGUUUCCUUUUCCAAAUGAAAUUCAACGAGAUCCAAAGACACCAUCUUCAUCUAUGAAUUUUGUAGGUUCUUUUUCCAAAUAGACCAUAUUUUCAUCCAUUGGAUUUCAAGUACUAGAAUUUGAAUCAACUCAAAGUUUGAUUGUAUAUGAAUUUCUUAUAGUCUUAUAAUUAGUGUUAUCAAAUAUCGGCCAUGGUGGAUAUUAGUGGCGGUUUUUGGGCUUGCCGCAAUGGUAAAUAUCAGCAGAUGUUGCGGAUUUUUUCACCAUAUCAUUGGCGGGAUUUUGGCUCUCCACCAUGGACCGUCAUCUGCCCUCGACAACACUGCAAUAAUAUUCACAAUGUUUUUUCAUAAAUGCAUUUUUAUAUUAUAUUCUGUCUACAUGGUCUUUACAUUAUAUAUCUAUUGUGUCCUCUCUUGCAAAAGUUCUUACGCACAUACUCCCGCCAUAUCUUGUGCUAACAGUGAACUUUUGUUUAAUAACAGACAGGGAAAGCAAUGAUCAAACUCUAGGCUAUUUGACGAGCGAGAUAUUCAAUAGAAAUAGAAGUAGAGUCCAUAUUUCCACAAAAUAAAACAUACUAACAAGUGUAUGAAUAUGAACAAAGAGAAAUUAACAUGCAUAAGACAAAUGCCACAAUAAUAAAAGAGAGAUUUACCAAGACAACAGGUGCAAGAAAAAGAAAGAUAAAAAAACUCAUGUUGAGGGUAAAAUAGUUGUAACUUCUAUAAGAGGUUUUAUAGAGAAUCAGAUCAACUUUGUUUCGGAAAAAUGUCUUACAUUUAGCUAGGCCGAUAACUUAGUUCUUUUCAUUCAAUAACAAUUGUUGUUUGUCUCCUUAACUUGGUACAUUAUCUAUCUCUUUUUAUAAUGUAAAAUGUAAAACUAACUUAAAUAUAAAGUUGAGUAAAACAACAUAAUCUCUUAUGUAACAAUAGUUUAUAUUAUAUUACAAGUGGUUUUAUGAUAUUGCUGAUAAAAAGUGUGAUAAGUUACGCUGUUUUACAAAAAAUCUAGAAGUGAUAAUGUACCAAACAUGUGAGACGAACGAUUUAUCUCAAUUUAAUUGCAUAGAACUGAUCAAAACGUGACUGGCCUGACUCACUAGAAAAACGUGGCUGGCCUGACUCUCUAUAAAAACCCCUUAAGACAAUUUUUAUCUCAUAACUUAAGUUGUUCUUUAUCUUCCCCUGUCUCACACCCCGUAUCAAUAAAUCUCUCUUCGCCGACGCUUUCAUCUUGUGCAUGUUAAGUUCUCGCUGCUCCGAUUCGUAUCUGGGCUGGUAUACUCUAUCUUGUGAAAUUGUGAACUGUAAUUUAAUUUAUAUUCCGUCAUUGCAUUGAUUUAAUUUGUUGGUAAUUCAGAUUGCUUGUGAUCUUCUCCUUUUUAGUACUGAGAUUAGUAUCAGGGAUUACCGAAGAAACACCAAGAUCAUCAACGAUCGUAGUGCAGUAGGUUAUUUAUACACAUCCUGCUGUUACGAUAUUCGUAAAAGACGUAUCUUCAUUCAAAGGAAGGAACAAUACAAAAACGAUGCAAUUCGUAAAAAGCGCAUCUUCAGUCCGAGGCUCAUCUAGUACAUCUGCAAGUCUGACUGUAAGAGAGCAAGCGGAUUCUCGGUCUGUCUAUGUUGGAAAUGUUGACUAUGGAUGUGCAUCUGAAAUUAUUAAACAGCAUUUUAUGUCAUGUGGAAAAGUAAUUAGGGUAACAAUUCCCGCAAAUGAAUUUGGUCUACCCAAAGGAUGCGCAUAUGUUGAGUUUGACAACAUUGAUGCUGUUCCCAAGGCACUGUUACUCAACGAGUCCGAGCUUCAUGGUCGGAAAAUUAAGGUCUGUGCUAAGCGGACAAACAUUCCCGGAAUGAAGAAAAUUCGUGGGAGAAGCACCUAUGUUUUAAGGUCCAGGAGGCCAUCUGCAGUGUAUUGCAGACCUGGUUAUGGAAGCGCUCCAAGGUUUGGACGUUCCAUGCGAUACAGACCAUACUAGUGGUCAGCUGAGUUUAAUGGUGAUCGAUGAGAAAAAGAGGACAAUGCAUUCUAUUUUCCAUUUAAUCUCCAUUUCUAAGGGAAUGAACAUGUGUUUUAAUUUGCAUACUCUUGGCUAAACUAUUUACUGUACUGGUACAUAC